CCUACGGGUGGCAGCAGUAGGGAAUUUUCGUCAAUGGGCGCAAGCCUGAACGAGCAAUGCCGCGUGAACGAGGAAGGUCUUCGGAUCGUAAAGUUCUGUUGAAGGGGAAAAAGAGCGGAGAGAGGAAAUGGUUUCCGAUUGAUAUUACCCUUCGAGGAAGUCACGGCUAACUCCGUGCCAGCAGCCGCGGUAAUACGUGGUUUGCGAGCGUUAUCCGGAAUGAUUGGGCGAAAGGGGUGCGUAGGCGGCCUGCUAAGUCUGAGUUAAAAGGUACCGGCUUAACCGGUACAGGUCCUGGAAACUGGCGGGCGAGAGAGCAGGAGAGGGCGGUGGAACUCCAUGUGUAGCGGUAAAAUGCGUAGAGAUAUGGAAGAACACCAGUGGCGAAGGCGGCCGCCUGGCCUGUUACUGACGCUGAGGCACGAAAGCGUGGGGAGCAAAUAGGAUUAGAUACCCGAGUAGUC
This 464-nucleotide ribosomal RNA is filed under the name uncultured bacterium. RNAcentral describes it as "partial 16S ribosomal RNA". It matches the Rfam family "Bacterial small subunit ribosomal RNA", at positions 338 to 795 of the family's 1533-position model. The record is from RNAcentral.